Molecule: long non-coding RNA, 1189 nt
Organism: Megalobrama amblycephala (Wuchang bream)
Lineage: Eukaryota; Metazoa; Chordata; Actinopteri; Cypriniformes; Xenocyprididae
Exons: 3
Source: RefSeq, a predicted model, not a curated record
CUGAAAAGCAUCAGCCUUCAGAUUACAUUUAGCUGAAUUGUAGAGCUUUGUAAUCUGGGUAAAUGUAUUUAAGACCACAGCAUAGUGUGCAGCAUUCUUUUAUAGGCCAGGUUAUUCAAGGAUCCAAGACACAUUUGUUGUUCAUUCAUUUGCUGUUUGGAAUUCUGAUUCAUUUCAGGAGGAUAAUUGGCUUGAAAGAAGAAAGAAGAACCUUGAAAGAAGGGAGACGAAUCUGAAAACCUGAUCAUUUUAGAGUCAUUGCAAUUUAAAAUCGAGCAACAUGGCAUUGGCAGGAAAAGCAGCAGCAGGAGAAGAACCGAGGGCAACUCUACUAUCACCACUAACAUUAACAUUGACAGUUGUAACAGUUGUAGUCGUAGUAGUAGGUUAUGCAUUUAUGUUAGCAGUAGCUGAAGUAGUAGUAGGAGCAGCAGCAGGAGCAGCAGCUGGAGUAUGCAUUUUACAAUUACUGUGGGAAGAAGAAGAAAGAAAAGGACCAGUAGCAGUAGUAGUAACAGCAGUAGCAGGAGGCGUAGCAGGAGCAGCAGCAGCAAAGUUGCGAUCAAUGGUAGGAGCAUACUCGCUAACAGGAUCAGCAAUAGUUGGAGCAAUAGCAGGAGCGGCAAUAGUAGCAAUAGCAAGAAAACUGUUACAAUAUGUUAUAAAUAAAAUACAGUGGUUAAAAGAUAACCUGAAGCCAUUGGUAGUACGCCUAAGAACCCAAGUGGAAAAAUAUAUAAAAAAGGUGGUAACAGAUAUAAUAAAGCGGGUACUAGCCAAUGAAGCCGCCAAAACAAUAUUGAACAAAUUUGCAUCAGUGAGAGGAUCAGGAUUAACAGCAGCAGCAGCAGCAACAGCAUUAGGAUUAGCAGCAUCAGUAGCAGGAUUAGGGUUAUUUGGAGGAUUACUGGUACUCGCGUUAGUACUUGCAGUAGGAACAGCAAUUUUUGGAUCAGAAGGACAAUCACAAGGACAAUCACAAGGACAGUCACAAUCAACAGAUGUGGUGUUUCCAAUUGCUCUUUUUUUGCUUUUUGUUUUAAUUUGUUUUCUUGUUUCCUCAGGUGUGUUGCGAUUUUGCUGUUUGUUGUUUCUCUCUCUUUUCCUAUGGUUUCUGCUGCGCUACCGCUCUGACAGGAACUGAUCAUAUUCACCAAGAAGGCCAGCAUAAAAGCCAGCUGAUGCCUCA